Oreochromis aureus is the source of this 311-nucleotide long non-coding RNA. NCBI's taxonomy places the organism in Eukaryota, Metazoa, Chordata, Actinopteri, Cichliformes, Cichlidae. The record is from Ensembl.
UAUGUUAGGGUUGUAUAUUACAACGUUUGUAUUUUCAUGCCAUUUUUCCUGUUUUAUUUUGAAAGAGUCUGUUGUGUUCAGUUCAUUAAUCUCACUGACCUGUUGUGUCAAUAGAAUCAUUUGUGCCAGCUACUUCCCUGCUCUCCUUCCAUCCUGUCUCAACCUCCAACAGGAAAGUAGAAGUCCUCAUAUGACACCAAGUGCUGAGGUCCUGUCUCAGCCUCAUACUUACCCACUUCAUUCUUCCAACAGACACCAAGUGCUGAGGUCCUGUCUCAGCCUCAUACUUACCCACUUCAUUCUUCCAACAG